ACACGACUACAUUAGAUACCCCGGUAGUCCUAGCCGUAAACGAUACUCGCUAGGUGUCGGCCACGGUGCGACCGUUGUCGGUGCCGUAAGGAAGCCGUGAAGCGAGCCACCUGGGAAGUACGGCCGCAAGGCUGAAACUUAAAGGAAUUGGCGGGGAGCACAACAACGGGUGGAGCUUGCGGUUUAAUUGGAUUCAACGCCGGAAAUCUUACCGGGACCGACAGCAACAUGAAGGCCAGGCUGAAGACUUUGCCGGAUUAGCUG
RNAcentral lists this ribosomal RNA (264 nucleotides) under uncultured archaeon. RNAcentral describes it as "partial 16S ribosomal RNA". It matches the Rfam family "Archaeal small subunit ribosomal RNA", at positions 717 to 982 of the family's 1478-position model. The record is from RNAcentral.